GUCCAGUGCAGAUAUAAAGAAAGGAUUCCUGGUUCUGCUUCCUGGGAGACUGUCAUGUGACCAAGAAGCUGCACAGACACUGAGAGAAGGCCAGAGAUGCAACACAGUGUUUUCCCAUUUGACCGAGACCUGAAAAACAAGUCACACAGAGCAAAGGAAGAAACUGGUGGAAGCAGGAUGAAACGGAGUAGACAACUCAACAACUGGCUCGCAGCCUGUUUGCCUGACUACUUGCCCCCAAGCCAUACCGCAUACCUCACACCGCCAUGGACAGAGCUCAUGGCGCAGCACACCUCCAUCACACCGCAGCGUUAACGGUUCCCCAGCUCAGCAUAUUAAUAAUGCAGCGUCUUCAUCAACCAGACGGAAAACUGAUAAAGUUGUGUGUCAUCAGUACGUUGUGGGAUCUUAAUUUGCGACGCAAAAGUUCAAACAUGGGCCCUGAAUAAAAUCUGUUGUAUUGUUCGAAGUUUUUCUGGGGUUUCUAUUAGAGGUUACUGUGAAGAAUUUUUGCUUUUAAAAUAAAACUGUAACUAUAAGCA
This is a long non-coding RNA of Xiphophorus couchianus (Monterrey platyfish), 542 nucleotides long. RefSeq lists it as uncharacterized. The transcript has 3 exons. Lineage: Eukaryota; Metazoa; Chordata; Actinopteri; Cyprinodontiformes; Poeciliidae. The record is from RefSeq and is a predicted model, not a curated record.